Molecule: long non-coding RNA, 3764 nt
Organism: Pseudophryne corroboree (corroboree frog)
Lineage: Eukaryota; Metazoa; Chordata; Amphibia; Anura; Myobatrachidae
Exons: 3
Source: RefSeq, a predicted model, not a curated record
UAAAGUCGUCAGGCCUGCGUUCUAGGACUAGCUGCUAGAUUUCCAGCGUCCUGAAGGUGAGAACGGAUGGAGCAGGGAUGCGUUCAGUAUCCCGGCGGUCGGAAUCUUGACAGCUGCAUCCCAACAUUCUGAAUACUGACGGAUCCCGAUGGAAGCAAAGCGAGCUGCUCAGCAGAGAGUGACCUGCAGAAUAAAACGCUCUGAAGCGGACGCUUGUCUUUGUAGAAGUCCUUCUAUUCUUCUCAACUACACAAUAUAUCGCUUCUUAGCAGUGGUAUUUUAAGGCAGGCUCAAUAAGAAAGACCAAGUAUAAGAAACCCUAGGAGUGUUCAGUGAUCUAUUAUAGCAUUACUUUUUAAUGACCAGCGUACAGAUGGAAGAAUAUGUACUAUUCUGACAUGUUAAAAAUGGUGGGAGAUAUUUUUAGAGUUUUAAAAAUUGCACUUAUCAGAUAUUCUAAAACAACGUUGUUCAAUCCUUUGUUGCCCUGAGCUACUAACAUAUUCCAAGGGCAAUAACUCUAAAGCCAGUAACCCAGUUGUCAUUGGAAUAUCUAUAAUGGAUGAAGAGUGUGCGGUGCACACAGGACCCUGGGUCCAGGGGGGUCCACACUGCACAUCCUGCACCCAUAUAAUUAUAGUUACCCGUCUGCAGUCCCGUGGCGGCCGGCUCUGUAGACAUAAAUCACCAGGGAAAUGGUGCAGUGGCCAUUUUCCCAGUGAUUUGCACAUGUGCAGUAGAUAUGGGGGGGUUUUGAGUAUCUGUAAGACUUCCCUGACUGUCCACAAUUGGAACUCUGCCCCCUCAUUGUUUAAACCCAUGAUUCACGGGUGUCAUUUUGCCUCGGGGACGGUUUUCCAAUUACGCCAACUACAAAAGGCUUGUAAAUCGCCAGCCAAAAGAAGGCUCCGUUAACUUCCUGGAGCAGCUAGGCAGUGAGCAGUCACAGACACAGUGGAGUGUAGAGAGGACCAGGGCUGCCCCUCCACUGUGCCUGGCAUGCUGUGAGUGUUGACAUGGAGACACACAGCCUCUCACAUUACCAUCUGUAAUGAGGUCAGUCGGCCCCUGCGUCUACCCCACAUAUAGUAUAUCAGCCAGUGUCAUCGUGUAAUAACAGCGGCACUUUGACCCUUUCCUCCAGCUGCACAGGCCCAGCUAGUCCCUAUCUGAGAAUGUAGUUGUGUAGCACUUAACAGCCACUCUCACUCACGGCAGCAGAAGUGCUGAUCUGACAGCAUGAGCCAAUAGGAUCCGGGUAUCUGCAGUGCUGGUGACACAGGUGAGUUGACGCAGCUCUCAGUGUCUGCUCUACCUGGCUGUUGCAGCCUCAGUACGGUGCAAUACACAUGUGUAAGAAUGGUCACUAGUGACGCAGUCACACCUGCCUCUGAUUGACUCUCUGCUGCGCACACAACGCUAUGUAUCAGAAGCUCUAUUACUCUGCAUCUACCAUUUACCUUGGUCCACUCCAUUCCAAUGAACUUGCCCAGUCUGUCACUGAGAGCCAAUCACUGUGCUCUGUGCAAAGGACCAAUCCCAGUGGAUCUACCACUUCUUUGCCUGAGUGCUGACUGACUGUAAUGCUACUGUGUGGCGUAAGUUGUAUUGGGGGCACAAUUGUGUGACCAUGCCUCUUCACACCCCUUUUUGCAUCGAGCACGGAUUAUAGAAUUUAUCCCAUAAAGGGGCGCCAAAAUAUUUAUUCACUUACCAAAAAAAUGAAGCUCAGGCCGGCCCUUCCACUUCAUUUAAAAGUGACUGACUUGCAAUAUUGCGGUGGAUUAUGGUGGCAGACAACAGUAAAUAUAUAUAUACAUACACAUACAUACAUACAUACAUACAUACACAUUCUCCAACAGGGUCGGGGAUACAUUUUUAAUAUGUGCGGUGCACCAUGGCCCUCAUUCAGAUCCCAAAGGAUCUGUGGCACAUGCCGCAAAGUAGUGAUGCUUGGUAAUUUGCUCAUGUACAGUACGGGUCUGCAAUAGCGGACGCAGGACGGAAGCAGACUAUCAGUGAUUGACAGUCUUAUGCCGUUUAGGAGUGGGGAGCGAUGCUCUCAGUUUCUUAAAAUGGAGGCAUUUUGCCAGCAUUGCAGGUAUGCAGGAGCAAAUCCGGAAGGGGGCAGCUUGGUCGACACAUAGGGGAUGUGGCCAGAAGAUAGGUGGGCUGUCCAGGGGCGUGGUGGCACGACCACGUCAUCGUGGCCUGCCCCCCGUUCUACAGUGUCGAGAAAGUAGGCACUGUGUAGUGGGGGGCGGGGCUAUGAUGAUGCGAUUCACCACAAAUCUCUUCAUCAGGUCCCCCGGUCCAACCACAUGCACUCUAUUGUAGGAGGCCCUGGGGAGAAGCGUGGGGCUGUAGCAGGUAUGCAGGAGCCUUCCGGGGGUCGGGAGCGGCACCCGAUUUUCAGGAGCCUCCCGGCCAUUCCGAGAGGGUAGGCAAGUAUGCCCUAACACAGUAUUAAAACUAUCAUGUGCAGUAAAGUAUGUUUACAGUUUGAACUUCUAUCUUCAUCAUACAGUCAUUUAGGUCCUGCGAUUGCUCCUAAUUUAUGCCCACAUCCAGACGUGUAGCUAGGUGCCAUGGUGCCCGGAGCAAGGGCAUGUUUUGGUGCCCCCCUCCCCUAUACUGAAUAUUGAAUUGGGGGCCUAGCCAACAUGUGGUGGCAUGUUACAUUUGAAAAGAAAUAAUAUUGAAAAAUCCUAAAUUGGUGACAAGGGUGGUUGUAGACCUUGUGGAGCUCAUGGCAAUCUGAUAAUCUCCCAAUGCCUCAAUUGAAAUAAUGCCCCAAAUGUGACCCCCCACAGACCCAACCCCCCCUAAACUCUCAAUGAUAAUGCUGCAUCAAAAUUGCCCCCCCCCCCCACACACACACACACACUAUUUCAUAGUCCCCAAUGCCUUAACACUAGAACUGAUGUCCCAGACCUGAUAAUCCCACUAUGCUUCAAUGAAAAUAAUGUCCCAGAAUUUCCUGAGAGGCAGAGAGAGGUGCUGCAGCAGCCUGAGGGACAGAGAGAGGUGCUGCAGCAGCCUGAGGGGCAGAGAGAGGUGCUGGAACAGAGAGACGUGCUGCAACAACAAUGUAGAGAGAAGUGCUGCAGCAGCCGGGACACAGAGAUGCCACAGCAGCCUGGGCAGGACAGAAGUAACCCUGCUGCACAGCUACAAGCAGACAGUGAGACAUAUAAAGAGGGUGGGCAGAGCUGGCUGUCAGUGUCUCCUGCUGUCGCCUCUGGCCUGCCCUGCUCCCUACCUAGUAUCCAAGUCAAUGUGCGCCCCCUGCUUCUCCUGUUCUGCGGCUGCCAGUACAGUGGCCGGCGGGAAGGGUGUGGGCGGCAGCGCGCCCUCUAACUUUUUCGGCGCCCGGAGCUCGCACUCCACUCGAGCCACCCUCGCUACACCCCUGCCCACAUCCCCCUUAUUCGACAGAAGCUAUGAGGGUUAGCACAAGUUGUAGCUCCACUGUUUUAUUAGAGGACCGAUCUUGCAGAUUUGUUCAGGUCUAUUUAUGAAGCAGUGAUAACUCAUUUCAAUGGCAAGAAACAGAAAAAAGGGUUAUCACUGUUUGCUCCUAUAAAUCACAGAUUUCACUUGUGGCGAUCUGACAAUAUGUAUUACAAAUAUAUCACUUUUAUUGCUUUUUAUACUCGAGCAUACAGGAAAUAAAUAUGUAAUAAAUAUUUUUGUCCUGAAUUAUCACUGUAAUGGCAGAGCUAUUUGUUGAUAUGUAAUGAGACUUGUAGAAGCCAAAGUUA